AGAAAGAAAAAUCGAUUCCCUGAGUAGCGGCGAGCGAAACGGGAAGAGCCCAAACCAACAAGCUUGCUUGUUGGGGUUGUAGGACACUCUAUACGGAGUUACAAAGGCACAUAUUAGACGAAUAACCUGGAAAGGUUAAUCAUAGAAGGUAAUAAUCCUGUAGUCGAAAAUGUGUGCUCUCUUGAGUGGAUCCUGAGUACGACGGAGCACGUGAAAUUCCGUCGGAAUCUGGGAGGACCAUCUCCUAAGGCUAAAUACUCUCUAGUGACCGAUAGUGAACCAGUACCGUGAGGGAAAGGUGAAAAGUACCCCGGAAGGGGAGUGAAAGAGAACUUGAAACCGUGUGCUUACAAGUAGUCAGAGCCCGUUAAUGGGUGAUGGCGUACCUUUUGUAGAAUGAACCGGCGAGUUACGAUCUGAUGCAAGGUUAAGCAGAAAAUGUGGAGCCGUAGCGAAAGCGAGUCUGAAUAGGGCGAAUGAGUAUUUGGUCGUAGACC
Molecule: non-coding RNA, 497 nt
Filed under: Staphylococcus microti
Lineage: Bacteria; Bacillati; Bacillota; Bacilli; Caryophanales; Staphylococcaceae
Description: bacterial LSU rRNA
Rfam family: Bacterial large subunit ribosomal RNA
Source: RNAcentral